RNAcentral lists this long non-coding RNA (1036 nucleotides) under Fukomys damarensis (Damara mole-rat). RNAcentral describes it as "lncRNA (ENSFDAG00000029690.1)". The record is from RNAcentral. Lineage: Eukaryota; Metazoa; Chordata; Mammalia; Rodentia; Bathyergidae.
GGCAUAUGUAAAAAAUACCUACCCUAGCGGUACAAAUACAACCCUGAAGAGCACAGGAAGGAGGGGAGACAGAGCGGAGGCUCACUUAGGCCUCAAAAGAUGGUGAAGCUGGGGUGCAUCAAGUACUGACCAGAGUCUUGCUUUAUUUGAAGGCAAUUUUCUCUUCAUCAGGACUUCAGAGAGACAGAAAAUACAGGGCGUAAGGCAGUGUCUGCUGCAGAUGUCCUAGUGGGCUGGAACUGUGGAGGAGAGAGGGGCCUGUCCUGCACCGGGGAGCCACGGUGACUGUUUCUGUAAUGGCUGAGCUGUGUCUGGCUUCAGUCUGAACCAUCAGUUUCCAAACAGUGCUGCCUCUUCCCACCUCCCACACACGAGGUCACAGAGGACCUGCGAAAGCCGGGCUAGCACCUACCUUUCCCCCACUCAGCGCCUGAAUCUCGAUGCUUUGGAUGGUGCCGAGCCAGACUCGCUGGGCUCAUUCUCUCCGUCUCCUGCUGAAUUCUCUGGCUGCUUCUCAGCUGUCAGGGUGCCAAGCUCCAUCCUGACCGUCUCCUGGCUCCAGCCGCAGCAGGAAAUGGGCCUGACCGUUGUUCUUCCACAGCUGAUGAGAAAAGGGUGGAAGACAGCCGCUGGUGUGCUGGAAUUGUGUAAGUGUUGCCGAUGGAAAUGCAUUGUGUGAACAUCAUCCUGUGCACUGCAGCAGGAAAAGUUGGGAACGAAACUCCUUUAGGUUGUGAAGCAAGGAGCUUCUGGAAGACCCAUUAACAUAAAGCUUUGGAAACCAGCUUGGAAAUUUUGACAUGUCGUCACUUUCAUCUGCUAAGCAGCUUGCAAACAUCCUCUCCCUCUUUCCCAUGCCUCCCUCCAACUUCUCUGCUUCAGCCUGACCAUCUGAAUUUUUCCAGUGAGAUUGCAGACCCAGCAGGCUGGCUUCCACUUCUGAUGAGAGAUGGGAGGAUUGAGGAUAGGACCCGACAGGCUUCAGAAAAGCACCCUGUUUUGCUCUGUCUGCUGCCAGACCCAAAACCUGCCCACC